GACGAACGCUGGCGGCGUGCUUAACACAUGCAAGUCGAACGGAAAGGCCCUGCUUUUGUGGGGUGCUCGAGUGGCGAACGGGUGAGUAACACGUGAGUAACCUGCCCUUGACUUUGGGAUAACUUCAGGAAACUGGGGCUAAUACCGGAUAGGAGCACCUGCUGCAUGGUGGGGGUUGGAAAGUUUCGGCGGUUGGGGAUGGACUCGCGGCUUAGCAGCUUGUCGGUGGGGUAGUGGCUUACCAAGGCUUUGACGGGUAGCCGGCCUGAGAGUGUGACCGGCCACAUUGGGACUGAGAUACGGCCCGGACUCCUACGGGAGGCAGCAGUGGGGAAUAGUGCACGAUGGGCGGAAGCCGGAUGCAGCAACGCCGCGUGCGGGAUGACGGCCUUCGGGUUGUAAACCGCUUUCGCCUGUGACGAAGCGUGAGUGACGGUAAUGGGUAAAGAAGCACCGGCUAACUACGUG
RNAcentral lists this ribosomal RNA (468 nucleotides) under uncultured bacterium. RNAcentral describes it as "partial 16S ribosomal RNA". It matches the Rfam family "Bacterial small subunit ribosomal RNA", at positions 28 to 507 of the family's 1533-position model. The record is from RNAcentral.